AGUACAGGUGGCCUAUAUGUUGGCAAGUGGCCGGAAACACAGGUUUUGCUUUAGUUUCCCUAAUAGCACACGACGUCCUUUGGACGUCCAAAAUAGGUCCAUUUUUGGUCCUAACGUCCAUGGACUAUAAACGGACGUCCCAUGUUGGACGUCCUUCGGAAGGAAUAAAAAUGGACGUCCUUUGGACGUCCGACGUUGGACGUCCUUCGGACGGAAUAAAUAUGGACGUCCUUUGGACGUCCGACGUUGAACGUCCUUUGGACGUCCAUACUGGACGAAAUACGGACGUUUUAUGAACGCUUAUCUUGGACACAUUAUACCAAUUACGGGAUCAAAUAGCAAAAUAAUUCAAUAAAAUAUUAACUUGCGUUAACUUUACGUUAAUGAAAUACAGUCAAACCUGUCACUAACGGCCACUAAAAUGAAAGAACUAUUGGCCGAUAUAGAAAAGUGGUCGUUAUUGCCAGUUUUUGUAGCCUAGAUAUACAGUACAACCUGUGUUACUGGCCACCUGUACUAACGGCCAGUUUAAAAAUUCCCCAAACCAAUUAUAUCUAGACUACAAAAACUGGCAAUACUGGUCACCUUUCUAUAUCGUCCAAUAGCUUUUUCAUUUUUAGCGACCGUUACUGACAGGUUUUACUGUAAUUAGUGUGGGGAAUUUUUAAACUGGCCGUUAGUACAGGUGGCCGGUGUUGGCAGGGGGCCGGUAACACAAGUUUUACUGUAGUUUAAAUCGAAAAGAUUAAAUCUUAAUUCAAAAUUGUAUAUUAAAUUAUUACAAUUAUAAAUUAUAUAGUUUAAUAUCCAAAACAUGUUUUGAUUUCAUGUAAUGUAAUGAAAAUCUUAUUUGUAAAUUAUUGGUUACAAUGUUUAACAACAGGAAAUAUUCAAGAAUAAAUAAAAUAAAAGUUUCCCCUAACAACAAAACAUUCCAGGAAUUCUACUAUCAAAGUUCUAUUCCGUGAACAUCGAUUAAAUUAUGGCUGGAAAGUUACCACAAGAUAUUCUAUGAAAAGAGUACAAUGUCCUCCUGGAGGGGUAAAAUUUUCCAUACUCUAAAGAGAGGCCAUUUACUAUUCAAUUUGCGUUCAUUUUCAAAUUUGCCGCGCGAGUAUCUAUGUAGCGUCGCGUGGUCAUUGGUCAUCAAGUCAUCUUAUUUCAUUUUCAUCAUAAGAUAACCUAAAAAUUUAGUAAAAAUUUUGAUUGGAAAAAAAUGCAUCGAUAAGGGGGUGAAAAAUGGAAAUUAGUGGCUUUUUUUUGCUGUACUUAACUGUACUGUUUAGUAUGCUAGUUUUGGCUAUGGCUGGAUCUCUUAAACAAUUAUAAUCAGCUGAAACUGGUCUACAAAAAACCAGAUAUAACCAAAAUAAAGAUAUAAAAAGUGUAUUGGCUAAUUGGAAGAAACUCAACAUUGUCCAUGCAUAAUAAGUUAUUACUUUAUAAACAAAUAUUAAGACCUAGGAAUGGAACCUGGAUAUAAUCAUCAAGAAGAUAGCAGGAAUCCCGACAAACAACAGGAAAUCCAGCUCCUCGAUACUACUGGGCAAACUAGAAGAUUGAAGAGGACAAAGCCUUUUGAACUAGUUUGAGUGAUAGGUGAUAGUGAAAAGCAGAGCAUAGUGCGUGAUGUGGCUGUGUAUGUUAGAAUAGUGCACGAUCUUGUUAGAUUAGAUAAGAGACGCUAUCGGGUAAGCUCUUCAUUUUAAGAAACAGUAGUAAUUUAGGUUAAAUUAAAAUUGCUCAUUGGUCAGUUAUGACCAGAUUGCUUUUUUUUAUGUUUGACAAAAAGGGCGUAAGUCAGAAUUGCACAUUGCUAAUGUUUUGAUGAUUUCUGGACCAGCAAAAAACUGUUGUAGACGUAAACUGUAUGUACCAAUAAAAAGAGCCGAUUUUUCUGGUCCAGAAAUCAUCAAAACAUUAUCGAUGUGCAUUUCUGACUUAAGCCCUUUUUCCCAAACAUCAGAGAAUUGCAAUGUACAAAUUCUCCUAUCUGAUUUUUCAUGAAUUUUGUAGGAGACGAAAAACCAUUUUUAGGAUCAUCUCCUGCUUUCACAUGUAAAUUUUGACAUGUCUUGUAGUAAAUAGAUAGUUGAAUUUACUACAAAACAUGUCAAAAAAUAUAUGAAAACAGGAGGUGACCAUAAAAAAAGUUUUUAGUCUCUCUUAAAAAAACUCAUGAAAAAACAAAUCGGAGGUAUGUCACAUCAGUGACUAUAUCCAGGGAAUGUCUAAAAAAUAUACUUUGAUGUCCCAAGAACCAAAUAUAACCUUUAUAUAUAUAUAUACAGGGUGUAACAAAAAUACAGGUCAUAAAUUUAAUCACAUAUCCUGGGACCAAAAAUAGUUUGAUUGGACCUAUAACUUACCUUAGUACAAAUGUGCACAAAAGAAAAGUUACAGCCCUUUGAAGUUAUAUAUUAAUAGCACCAAGGGCCUUAGAGGCCCAUGGCUUGAAAAGUUUGUUUUUUUCUUCAUUUUCACGUUUCUUUAUGUACUGAGAUCUUCUCUGGCUUGAUAUGUGAUUUUUCUCCAUUCCUUCCUCUUAUUCAUUUUUCUUUUCUGACCCUGUAACACCAUUCUUUCCAAAUCUUUUUCGACCUCUUGCUUCCAUCUAUUUUCCGGUCUUCCUCUUCUCUUUCUUGAAGCUAUAGUGUAGUUUAGUACCCUUUUCGGAGUCCUCGUUUUUGGCAUCCUUUCAAUGUGACCUCAUGAUCUAAGUCUCUGUGCCUUUAUCACUCAUUUGAAGUUACAAAAUGAAAAGUGAUUUUUUCCAAUGUAUCGAAAACAAUGUGCUUUUGUGCACGUUUCAAUUUAAUUAUUAUUGUAGUACCUACCAUUUAAACAACGUUUUAAAAACUUUUUUGCCUCUUAUUGCUUUUUCAAAAAGUCAAUUUUUAUCGAAAUAUUUUGAAUAUUUGUCAAAUCCACCACAUAUUUGUAUAUGGUUAAGUACGAUUAUGGAGACUUGGUAAUAAUAUGCAAACUUAUUUAUGCUUUACAUUUUUAGGUAUAUUUUGAACCAUAUUAAAAAAGAA
This 3038-nucleotide long non-coding RNA is filed under the name Diabrotica virgifera virgifera (western corn rootworm). RNAcentral describes it as "uncharacterized LOC126886538". The record is from RNAcentral. Lineage: Eukaryota; Metazoa; Arthropoda; Insecta; Coleoptera; Chrysomelidae.